This 440-nucleotide long non-coding RNA is filed under the name Gallus gallus (chicken). The record is from RNAcentral. Lineage: Eukaryota; Metazoa; Chordata; Aves; Galliformes; Phasianidae.
GGGUGGUUCAGUUGCUUCAAGAGGUCAAUCUCUUUAAUGCAAUCUUGCCUAGCCUUGGCAUCCAUCAUUUCAAAAAUCUGAACUUUCUUUAAUGCCACAGGUUUUCUGUCCAGAAGACAAGUUGCUUUGUAAACUUCACUGAACUGUCCUCGUCCGAUCUUCUUCUCUAUCUGAAAGUCUGCCAGUGUGCAGCGAUACGGGUAUGAUGUUAAAUGUCUCUGCGGGUCGUGCUGGAAGUCCUGGCCUGGCAGCUUGCAGAGCGCGCUGGUCUGGUCCCCCAGGUGCUGCGGGUGCUCGUGCUGCCCCUCCAUGCCCACAUGCCAAGCGCUGCCGGACCUGCGGGCUGCGGCCGGACGAGCGGCGGGGCCCGCGCGGGGCGGCCCGGAGUCGGAGCGGAGCGGCGCCGCGUCCCGGAGACAACUUCGGCCUCCCGCGCGCCC